CCGCCUGCCCAGUGACACACGUUUAACGGCCGCGGUACCCUGACCGUGCAAAGGUAGCAUAAUCACUUGUUCUCUAAAUAGGGACUCGCAUGAAUGGCAUCACGAGGGUUUAACUGUCUCUUACUUUCAACCAGUGAAAUUGACCUGUCCGUGAAGAGACGGACAUGAAUUAAUAAGACGAGAAGACCCUGCGGAGCUUCAAUUUACUAGUACAACUAAAAAUCACACAAACCCACAGGCCCUUAAACCCUCAUACCUGUACUAAAAAUUUUGGUUGGGGCGACCUCGGAGCACAGCCAAACCUCCGAACAAUCCAUGCUGAGACUACACAAGCCAAAGCAAACUAAUACUUGCAAUUGACCCAAUAAUUUGAUCAACGGAACAAGUUACCCCAGGGAUAACAGCGCAAUUCUAUUCUAGAGUCCAUAUCAACAAUAGAGUUUACGACCUCGAUGUUGGAUCAGGACAUCCUAAUGGUGCAGCAGCUAUCAAG
Molecule: ribosomal RNA, 493 nt
Filed under: Chlorocebus tantalus (tantalus monkey)
Lineage: Eukaryota; Metazoa; Chordata; Mammalia; Primates; Cercopithecidae
Description: partial 16S large subunit ribosomal RNA
Rfam family: Bacterial large subunit ribosomal RNA
Source: RNAcentral